UUACGGCCACAUCAUGUUGAAACAUCGGUUCCCGUACGAUCACUGAAGUUAAGCAACGUUGGUCGUGGUCAAUACUUAGAAUAGUGACCACUUAGGAAUACUAAGU
Acanthosepion pharaonis is the source of this 106-nucleotide non-coding RNA. Lineage: Eukaryota; Metazoa; Mollusca; Cephalopoda; Sepiida; Sepiidae. The record is from the annotation of a GenBank genome assembly.